Long non-coding RNA from Lutra lutra (Eurasian river otter), 4371 nucleotides. RefSeq lists it as uncharacterized. The record is from RefSeq and is a predicted model, not a curated record. The transcript has 4 exons. Lineage: Eukaryota; Metazoa; Chordata; Mammalia; Carnivora; Mustelidae.
GGGCCUUUAAUAGAUGUAGCUGCAGUUCCUUCAGAACUCACUUGCGAACAUUUGAUGAAUAAGCCAGAAAAUCUUGAGCCAUGGAUUCUUCUGAACCUUGCACUAGGCUUUCUGUACUUGGAGAACCUGGAGAGAUGUCACUUGGGACAGGUGCCUCAGAAGUGGUACAUGUGUUCCUCAAGAAGUAGUCCUGCCUUUUCUGCCUCCAGACCAAUAACCAGGGGCAGGACUCAGGAUAGCCCAAACAGAGAAAUACUGGCCCUAUUCUGGGAGGAAGUAAAGCAUAUAACCUCAAAUUGUAAAAUGCAUACCAGCAAGAAUUGCAAAAAAGUAUGGUUGAGUAGAACUUGAGGGUGGUGGAUGGACAGCAGAGGUGGUAUAUUCAAUAACGUCGGAGUACUCUCUUGUGACGCAGGAUUUAAAGUUUUGAAUGAACCUGUGGCUAUUUACCAGAUUAACUCAACACUGGAAAAAGAGAUUGCCAGCUGAUAUGGUUAUUGGGAGACUCAAAACACUAUCCUAGUACCCUAUCCAUAGUGGAGGCUAGUGGAGGAGAAGGGGCAAAUGGAAACCUCAUUUAAGUUGAUCUCACAUUGAUCCAUGGACCUGUGAGGCACAGUAUUCCAGAUGAUGUUGUAACACCUCCAUUGGUACUAGUGAUACUGGAGGCCUUAUCUUACUCACCUCUCUAUUCUGAUCACAUCUGACAAUUAGCUCUUCCGAGUUCUCAGUUGAGCCUGUUUUUAAAUUGGAUGUGGAAAGUGUAAGUGGAAAAUUGGAUAUGUAAGAGAAAGAGACUGAAGAAUUAAAAUCAACCUGCUCAAAAGAACGGGGCAAUGUAAAAUAUGUGUAGGGGUCUUCAGACUGCUGGAUAAAUAGAGAUGAUGGUGAAGGAGGAAAUGGGAUGACUAAAGACUGUGGAAAACUGGAGAAAUUCAAGAUAAGGUACUUUGGACGAACAGCCGACCUCAGGCCACAUAGAUAAUUCAGAAUGCUCAUCGCCCCUCACUUUUAACUGAGACCCAGAACACAUGAGAAAAAGACUUACUGGGCAUCUCCUACAUGCCAAGCACUGUUGGAUACUUUUCUUACCUUAUCUCAUUUAACCGCGGUAAGAAUCUUAGGAAGUCGGCGUGAUCAGCCUCAUUCAUGAGAGAGAAAAGUGAGGUCCCGGAGGUUGGGUGACUUGUGAAUUCAAGCGCGCUCGCUCACAAAGGCGCAGGUUGGAGUUCCGGUGUGUGCGUCCGCUUAAACAUCCAAAGUUCUUGCUCAGCAGGUCCUGCCAAGACACCUAGCUGAGGCUCAGUCCUCAGCAGGGGUGGGGAGGAAGAGCACUGCCAAUUUAGCCUGAGCGGUGGAUUAUAGUCACACCAAAGGUACCACAGUCCCAACGGAAGAGCUUGAACUCCAGAUGUGUCGGUUUAUCUCCAAGUUCAUUAUAUAAUCUCCAGGCAAAUAUGGGCAUAAGCGCAGAAGUUCUCUCCAACUCUAGCCUUGAAAUCCAUGCUUAUACUUCUCUUUUGACCCUGGGUGACCCUUGCAUGAGGCAGCAGCCUUUAGGCUGGGGUCAGUCACCAAGAUCCUGGCUCCGCACCCCUUCUGUUUUGCCUAAAAGGCCUCCUUGUGACCAUUUCUGACCCUCCACACUGGAAGUACUGGCAUCUGGCCAACUGUGCAUCAUGGUGUCUUCCCACAACACUUUAUUCAAGCGAAGAUCUUUCCCUCUUCUCUAUUUGUACCAUGUUGACUUCUGCGGGCGGUUCCAACAUUUUCUUUUCGCAGUUAAAUCCACGCGGUGUUACCUGCAAGCUUCCCAAUGUGCCAUCUAUUUCUAAAGACUGCUCUGAGUCCUUUUUUGAAAUCUGUAAUAUUGCUGAACACUUCCUGAACAUGAUAAGCACCAGUUUUAUACUUACCUACUUGAACACAAAAGUUAUGAGAAAAUGGGAAGUGAUGAAGAAAUUACUUAAAUAAUUGAUAACGAUGCCAUGGUGUGUAUUAUGAUGUACAGAAACUGAAACGUACACGCAUCAGUAUAUCCGUUUCUUAAUGGUGUUGUAACAAAUUACCACGAAUUCACUGGUUUAAAACAACACAGAUGUAUUCUCUUACUGAUUCUGGAGGUCAGAAGUCUAAACAUUUUUUUGACAGGGCGAUAUUUCUUCUGGAAACCCAAGGCGAGAAUCCAUGCCCCUCUGAAUUUUUUCAGGUUCUAGAGCCUGCACGCACCCCUUGGCCCAGUGUGUUCUUUGCUUCUCUCUGACCUCUUAUUCUCUGUCUCUUACCCUGUCUCUGACCCUGACCUUCCAGUCUCUGACCCUGACCUCCCAUUUCUUUCAGAUAGGUAACUUUAUGAUUACAUAGGGUCCCUGCAGAUAAUCCAGGAUAGCUUCCACAUCUCAAGAUCCAUGUCUUGACUACAUUUGCAAAGUCCUUUUGCUAUAUAUUGUACUAUAUUCGGAGGAUUAGAAUGGAUAUUUUGGAGGAGGAAUUAUUCCCCACAAAACAACCAAGGGAAAGAAAACUAGAGCAUUAAACUGGUAUAAAGAUGAUUAAAUAAAGAAGCCAAGAGUGCAGGCUCCAGUAACACCCAACAGUGAUUCCUCUAUAGCACAGUAGCAGAAAAGCAUUUCUGGUGAAACAGGAACUGCAAAGUAUAAGGAGUUCGGACCAUGUUUGCUCAAGUUCAUUGGACAGAUUAAUUCAAAUAUUCCCAUCAUAAGCUUCUUCGUGAUGAAUCUGAUGACAGAAACUGAACUUAAAGCCUCUGAUUUGUUGCUCAUGUACCAUUAUUAUAAGCUAAAAUAAUAUAUAUGUACAUACAUCAUACUCACCUGUACAUACAUAUGCACACAUAGGAAUGCAUAUAUACAUAAAACCAUGUAGUUAACAUAUAUGUGGAACACGAGUUAGGAAUGUUCAAAAUAGAAAUGAAACUUCAAAGACUUUCUGAAUAAUCUCCACCUAAAAAAAUAUCAACUCUAUGUUCUUUUGAUACAAACACUAUUUAUAUUGCAUCUGAAAACAAAGGAGCUCAGCCUUACACAUGUUCUAGCAUGUUCCCUCUACCUGCAGUCUCAAGUGUUCACUGCUCCUGAUUUACCAGCAGGGGGUCUGGUGGGUGCACAUGUAACCCAGUGGACAAUGCAAUGUCAUCAAGAACACUGGGCACUUACACUCUUUCAGUGGCCUGGUAUUCAUUAUUCAAGUCGAUGAACCUGUAUGCAUGAGAACCUUCAGUCCAUUUCUAAGGGUUGUGAUCAAUAAGCCGGGUGGUGGGGGAUGGAGGUGAAGAGGGAAAAUAAAUGUGCCCUUUUUUUUUAGAAUGUGGCAUAAAAAUACCUGAAACCAGAAUUUCAUAACAAAAGGGCAAGCUAACCUUACUAAAUGCUGAUUACACAGUGUAUAAUAGAAAAGGAAAUAAAAGCGUUUUUAUAAAAUGUAUCAAAUCCUAAGAGUGCUGUUAAACUCAUUAAAGAAAAAAUGAAGUUAGAGAAACUGGUCUUAUUUUUUUUCACUCCCAGUAGAGUUCAUUUCUACUUCAACAACUAAGCCAAGGUCACAUUUAACUCACUUCAAUUUCACCCAGUGCACAAGCUAAUGUCAAUAGUACAGCUGCCAUGCAGAGCUAAAGACUGAUGGUUAGACAAAGCCAUUUACACAAGGCUGGGUCUUUCAUCUUCUCUCAGCCAGUGACAUAAGAAAGCACUGAGGUUAUUCUCAACUAGAGACGAAAACUGGCAUAUUAGAAAGAAUGUUAUUCUCCUUAGCUGUCACACAAAGGAUCUGAAGAAAUGUAGAAAUGUUUUUUUUCCUCCCCCCACUCUGGUCAUCUGGGGAGAUCACAAAGUGACUCUAAUAGCCUUCACUCUGAAAUUUUCACAUGGUUUAAGUGAUUGCCAAGUCUGAUAUUUUCCAUUUACACUUCAUUGCCAUCAGAAAAAGAAAAAAAAAUCAAUAUACCUACCUACUCAAGUGUGUCACAGGAUGAGCUUAUAAAAGAAGACAUCAGUCUUUUUAGGGCAUGAAAAAUAUACUUAUUCAAAUAUAUCUUAUUUAAAAUGACAUAAAUUGCAGUGGUUAGUCAAGAUUCGAUUUCCUCUAAAAUAUAAGAUUUAAAAUAUUCCUUGACUUGCCAGGAAUCGGAAUCCUUCAAAUUGUUGAUAUAUACAGAUGUACUUGUUUUCUGAUGUAAGUCAUUCUGACUGUAUUUUAUUUUAGUGCAUUAGUGACUACAUUUAUUAAUUUCAUAGGAACUAAAGCAUCACAUUUUACGAGACUGCACAAGGUAGUACUUUUUUUUUUUCUUCUCAGGAAAUAAUUUUAUUUUCAACCGUACUUUUUCAUUGCAUGGCUCCUUGCACUUUUAGC